RNAcentral lists this ribosomal RNA (449 nucleotides) under uncultured bacterium. RNAcentral's name for it is "partial 16S ribosomal RNA". It matches the Rfam family "Bacterial small subunit ribosomal RNA", at positions 29 to 523 of the family's 1533-position model. The record is from RNAcentral.
AGCGAACGCUGGCGGCAGGCCUAACACAUGCAAGUCGAACGAACUCUUCGGAGUUAGUGGCGGACGGGUGAGUAACAAGUGGAAACGUGACUUUAGGUUCGGAGUAACUUAGGGAAACUUGUGCUAAUACCGAAUGUGCCUAUCGGGGGAAAGAUUUAUCGGCUUUAGAGCGCCCCGCGUGUGAUUAGUUAGUUGGUGAGGUAACGGAUAACCAAGGCGACGAUAAUUAGCUAGUCUGAGAGGAUGGCCAGCCACACUGGGACUGAGACACGGCCCAGACUCCUACGGGAGGCAGCAGUGGGGAAUCUUGCGCAAUGGGCGAAAGCCUGACGCAACCAUGCCGCGUGAAUGAUGAAGGUCUUAGGAUUGUAAAAUUCUUUCACCGGAGACGAUAAUGACGGUACCCGGAGAAGAAGCCCCGGCUAACUUCGUGCCAGCCGCCGCCGUAA